CCUACGGGGGGCUGCAGUGAGGAAUAUUGGUCAAUGGGCGCAAGCCUGAACCAGCCAAGUCGCGUGAGGGAAGACGGCCCUACGGGUUGUAAACCUCUUUUGCCGGGGAGCAAGCCUGAGCACGUGUGCCCAGGCGGAGAGUACCCGGAGAAAAAGCAUCGGAUAACUCCGUGCCAGCAGCCGCGGGAAUACGUAGGGGGCAAGCGUUAUCCGGAUUUACUGGGUGUAAAGGGAGCGUAGACGGUUAUGUCACGCUGGAGUGAAAGGCCGGGGCCCAACCCCGGGACUGUGUUUGAAACUGUGUAACUGGAGUACAGGAGGGGCAGGCGGAAUUCCGGGUGUAGCGGUGAAAUGCGGAGAUAUCAGGAGGAACACCGGCGGCGAAGGCGGCCUGCUGGACUGAAACUGACGUUGAGGCUCGAAAGCGUGGGGAGCAAACAGGAUUAGAUACCCGUGUAGUC
This 461-nucleotide ribosomal RNA is filed under the name uncultured bacterium. RNAcentral's name for it is "partial 16S ribosomal RNA". It matches the Rfam family "Bacterial small subunit ribosomal RNA", at positions 338 to 795 of the family's 1533-position model. The record is from RNAcentral.